GGGGGAUUAGCUCAGCUGGGAGAGCACCUGCUUUGCAAGCAGGGGGUCAUCGGUUCGAUCCCGUUAUCCUCCACCA
Molecule: transfer RNA, 76 nt
Filed under: Burkholderiales bacterium
Lineage: Bacteria; Pseudomonadati; Pseudomonadota; Betaproteobacteria; Burkholderiales
Also listed under: 7 other names
Description: tRNA-Ala
Rfam family: tRNA
About the family: Transfer RNA (tRNA) molecules are approximately 80 nucleotides in length. Their secondary structure includes four short double-helical elements and three loops (D, anti-codon, and T loops).
Source: RNAcentral